CAGGGCACAAAGCUAAAGGAUGUAGCUGCCAUGAUGACAGAUGACAUUAAUGCUCAAAGGGAGUCUCAUCAAAGUGCUCCGCAUCUGUGUGAAAGACAAUUGCAACAUCUUGGUGCAGGAGUUCAUGGACUUGACUGAGGCCACUGCACAGAUUGAGAAAACCACAAUGAACAUCUGUCUCCAGAGGAUGCACCAGGCAAUGACUUUUCUGACGUUGGCAUCAUCAUCGAGGGUAUAGUAGUUCUUCAAGAUCUGGAUAACGUGACCUUUGCAGUAGCCAUGCUGUUUGGACCUUUUUUAUUCCUUCAAUAUGAG
Non-coding RNA from Maylandia zebra (zebra mbuna), 315 nucleotides. The record is from RefSeq and is a predicted model, not a curated record. NCBI's taxonomy places the organism in Eukaryota, Metazoa, Chordata, Actinopteri, Cichliformes, Cichlidae.